GAAUGUGUUAAAAUUAUGAAACGUAUACGACUAUAAAAAAAUUAAACUAAAAAAUUCUUUCGAAUAUCAAAAUAAAUAGAAAUAGAUCCGCACAUCAAGAAGAUGUAUUGUAAAAAUUUUAAAUAAUAUUUUACUAUCAUUUUUUUUUUAAUUUCACAUUUUUGUUAUAAUUUUUUGAUUAAUAAUUACAUGAAAUUUUGGGUAUAAAAAUGGGGAAGAAACCCUAAUUUUACCCAAACUACUUGAUCUUAUCUGAGCAAGAGAAGUUAGCAUACGAGAGCUCCCCAAUAAAACCCUAACCAUCGACUUUUCCCUCUCUUCUCCGGCGGGACUGAGCUCGAGCCACCCUCCUUCCGGGGUUGAUGGCGGCUCUCUCAUUCCCCCAAAGAAGCUCUAGGUUUUUGUUCUUUGGUUAGUUCGUUUUGGAACUCUAAUGGCUGCUCUCUUAUCUUGCAGUGAAGACUGCCCGCGGUCAGAGCCUAGUAAUAUUACAGGGCAGUGAUGGUCCAAGCGGGCUCAUCAAAUUCUCAAUCUUUUGAUUUAUCCUGUCGUUUUUGUUUUUUGAUUUAUGCAUUGUAGGUGUUUGAUGAUAUGUCUAUUACUCUAUUUGUUAAUUUAUGAGAGACUAUUUGUAUGAUUCGUCUCUCUUUCUCACUCUUCAAAGUGGAAUCUUUAGUUAGUAUUAUUCAUUCUAUUCUGUUUAUGAUAUAACUGUGUAUUGAUCUUUGAAAGAGUAAUCUUUGGUAUUUGCUGAAACAUUCAUAAUUAUACUUGAUUUCCUUUUCAUUGUAUUGGUUGCAUCUAGGUAAGGGAUAUGGCAUGAGAAGAUGGUUAGAUUUUUUUUUUUGUUUUAUUAAUUUUUGGACACAAAGUUCUAAUGGGGAUUGGAUAAAAGUCAUUUGAUAGUAUUACACUACACUUGUGUGAAUCUUUGCUAGUCAUUUCUCACAAUUAUGAGUAUUUGUAUGCUUUUGUUGAGGUUGGUUUCUCUUUCACUCUUCAAAGUAGAAUCUUUAGUCAGUGUUAUUUAUUCUAUUGUGUUUAUGAUUUUAACUGUUAUUCAAUUUUAGUUAGAUUUCUUUAUUGUUAUAUUGAAAUGUUUGGUAUUUUUAUUAAUGAUUAUGCUUCAUUCUUUUUCAUUGUAUUGGUUACUUCUUAUUAAGGGUUUUAUUAAGGUUUAUUAUGAAGAUUUUUAUGUUUAUUUAUCUGGUUUUGUAUUACAAGUGAACUUUUUUUUUGGACACAAUGCUCUACUGUGGAUUAGGUAAAAGUCAUUUGAUAGUAUUAGUCUGUACUUGUAUAUGUGAAGCUUUAUAGUCAUUUCUCACAUUUAUGAGAGUUUUAAUGCUGUGUCAGUGUUAUUUGUUCUAUUCUUUUAAUAAUUUAAUGUGAUUCAAUUUGAGUUUGAUUUUUUUAUUGGUAUAUCUUUGGUAUUUUUAUGUUGAUUUUUGAGAAAGAGUAAUCAUUGGUAUUUGCUGAGACAUUCGUAAUUAUGCUUUAUUUCUUUUCUUUACAUUAGUUGCAUCUAAGUAAGAGCUAUUAAGGUUUAUUAUGGGAAUUUUUACGAUUAUUUAUCUGGUUUUGUAUUCAAAAAGUGACAAUUUUUUUUUUGGACUCAAAGUUCUAAUGGGGAUUAGAUGAAAGUCAUUUGAUAGUAUUAAUUACUUGGUAGAGUAGCUACUUGCUAUUAUUAACUGUCUUCUAAUGUAUAAUACUAUUUCAAGAAUGUUAAAGAAAUUAGUUUCAACACUUCAUCUUAAUGUAUGAUAUUUUGACACUAGCUAUGCUUUGAAUUGAAAUAAGAGUGUAAAUGAAUGUUCUUUUAGUAUCAUACUCUUUUUGUUUUGUUUCUUAAUUUUUAUUACUUCACCUCAUUGAGUUUUGCUUUGGGUCACAAAUGAAAUCUAAAUUCAUUUGUAACUUUUUAAUUGAAUUAUGUUGUUUAAGGACGAGCAGCAACACGAGUUAUGUGGUUUUUUUAAAUUGGUUGGCAGCUUGAAAAAGUCAUCAAAGGUAGCUUUUGCAGGAUGUCUAUCAAUUAGAAAGAACAAUAACAAUCCUUCAAGCAGGUUGUUCAACAUUUUUCUUUCAUUUGGUCAGUCUGUUUUUUCUGCCCGCCGACCAUUUGAGAAGGCCUCAUGACCCGUCUUGUUGUUCGUCCUUGAGCAACAGUUAUUUUCAUCCUAUUAUGUGGUUUUUUAAAUUGUUCACGUAGGUAUAUGUAAUCAAUUUUUGACACGAACUCUUAUGAAAGAUUCAUUGUCUUGUGAUGGACUCAUCAUGUAACACUUAUUAAAUUCAUACAAUAAUAUCAUUGGAAUUCUAAACAGAUGUUUUAUACUGUUUAUAUUGUUUUCUAUUAAAUUCUAGUUAUGCAAUAAUAUUUGUGUUACUAUUUGGGCUCUCUCCACUCCUUCCUCACUCUCUAACUUGUUUGUUUAUUGCCCUCGUAAUGUGAUUGAAGACAGUUGUUCUCUUUCCAUUGUGCUAUUGAGUUUCAAUAGAAAUAAUACUUGUUUUUAUUAUAAAACAAACCCUCUAUUACAUGAUUGACUGUGCUCUUGGAAUGGUUAGAAGUGGCUAUGCAUAGAAAUAUUUGCUGUGAUGCAGAUGCAGCUAGAGGAAAGAAAGUACAUGAUUGGACAGUGAAACCUUGUGGAUCAGAAAUAUUUAGUUGAUAUAGGUGCAUACAAGUAUUGCUCCAUAUAUGGUGUCUUCUCUUAAGUUGUGGCUAAUUUGUCUAUUACAUCAGUCAAUGGUAGUGUGGUUCGUAAGAAGAUUUGGCAUCAUGAGACCUCGGUUUUCUGCUCGAUGAAACGGGGUUAUUGGCUUGCAAUGGUGCCUUCUUGUCGGUUUGUUAGAUUGGAUUCUGGCUUUUGUGAAAUCUUAAGUGGCAUGGUAUGGCAUUGUAUCAUGCUGAAGGACAUUAGAAAGGCAGUGAGUGAUCACUUCUUGGUUUCUACUUUCUAUUAGUAGCCACUGGUUUGGACUUGAAUCAAUUGUUCAUUGUCUUGUGGCGGAAUUCGGUAUGGAUUCUGACGGGGUGCAACGGGUUUGGUUGGCUUUCUCAACUGUUUCGCCUGUUGUGGAUGGCUGAAGUUAUUACGAUUCUCAAAGAGCUUCAACUAUGCCAUAGGAUAGGGCACUUGAGUCUUAUUGUUGAAUAUGAUUUUCUGUUUGUUAAAACUGUUAAUGCUAAUUGUUAGAGAUGCCCUUCUUAUUUGUACUGAAUUUUUUGAUAUUACUUUUUCUCUAUUGCUUGGUUUUUUAUAAUUUUAUUAAAGUAAAAUGUAAGAUUUGAUAUUCAAUUGCACUAAUAGCAAUGACAUUUCCUU
Molecule: long non-coding RNA, 3335 nt
Organism: Cannabis sativa
Lineage: Eukaryota; Viridiplantae; Streptophyta; Magnoliopsida; Rosales; Cannabaceae
Exons: 2
Source: RefSeq, a predicted model, not a curated record